RNAcentral lists this transfer RNA (541 nucleotides) under uncultured cyanobacterium. RNAcentral describes it as "partial 16S-23S ribosomal RNA intergenic spacer". The stretch from base 212 to 284 matches the Rfam family "tRNA". Lineage: Bacteria; Bacillati; Cyanobacteriota. The record is from RNAcentral.
CAGGGAGACAACAAAAUGUUUAAUAUUAUUAUUUUGUCACCUUAGGUCGAUCGGUAUCUCACGUUUUUAAUUUUUUAAGAAUUUCAUUUCCUAAGUUUUUCUAGGUCACACCCAUUUUUUUUCCUGGGCCAUUAGCUCAGGUGGUUAGAGCGCACCCCUGAUAAGGGUGAGGUCCCUGGUUCAAGUCCAGGAUGGCCCAUAUCUCUAUGUUGGGGGUAUAGCUCAGUUGGUAGAGCGCCUGCUUUGCAAGCAGGAUGUCAGCGGUUCGAGUCCGCUUACCUCCACUGAUUACCACCUCUUCCAUAACCGGUAGAAAGGAAAUUUUUUGAGUUGUGAUCAAAUUCUGAAAGAAUCUAGCUUCCUAAUGAAAUCAUUAAGAUGCUGGAUUCAUUGAAUUAAUUUCAUUGUUUUCAGAGAACCUUGACAACUGCAUAGAUUAUUUUUAAAGACAAUAAGCAUCUUUAAUGAUGCAGAUUUAUUAUUUGUGCGAAUGCAUUAAUAACAAUUCUAUUAAGCUGAUGCUUCAAUUUUUGAAGUUAUU